GACGAACGCUGGCGGCGUGCUUAACACAUGCAAGUCGAACGGAAAGGCCCUGCUUUUGUGGGGUGCUCGAGUGGCGAACGGGUGAGUAACACGUGAGUAACCUGCCCUUGACUUUGGGAUAACUUCAGGAAACUGGGGCUAAUACCGGAUAGGAGCUCCUGCUGCAUGGUGGGGGUUGGAAAGUUUCGGCGGUUGGGGAUGGACUCGCGGCUUAUCAGCUUGUUGGUGGGGUAGUGGCUUACCAAGGCUUUGACGGGUAGCCGGCCUGGGAGGGUGACCGGCCCAAGUGGGAUUGGGGAGGGCCCCGGCCUCCAACGGGGGGAAGGGGUGGGGAAUUUUUACAGAUGGGCGGAGGCCUGGUACAGCCACGCCGGGUGCGAGAGGACGGCCUUCGGGUUGGAAACCGCUUUCCCCUGUGACGAAGGGUGAGGGCCGGAAAUGGGUAAAAAAGAACCGGCAAACUACUG
Molecule: ribosomal RNA, 467 nt
Filed under: uncultured bacterium
Lineage: Bacteria
Description: partial 16S ribosomal RNA
Rfam family: Bacterial small subunit ribosomal RNA
Source: RNAcentral